CGUAGGGGCCGAGCGUUGUCCGGCUUUCUUGGGCGUAAAGGGCGCGUAGGCGGUCACGCACGUCCGUUGUGAAAUCGCUCGGCUCAACUGGGCGGGGUCAGCGGAUACGGCGUGGCUGGAGCAAGCUAGGGGGCAAUGGAAUUCCCGGUGUAGUGGUGGAAUGCGUAGAUAUCGGGAGGAACACCAGUGGCGAAGGCGGUUGCCUGGAGCUUUGCUGACGCUGAUGCGCGAAAGCGUGGGGAGCGAUCCGG
RNAcentral lists this ribosomal RNA (251 nucleotides) under uncultured bacterium. RNAcentral's name for it is "partial 16S ribosomal RNA". It matches the Rfam family "Bacterial small subunit ribosomal RNA", at positions 526 to 776 of the family's 1533-position model. The record is from RNAcentral.